RNAcentral lists this ribosomal RNA (423 nucleotides) under uncultured bacterium. RNAcentral's name for it is "partial 16S ribosomal RNA". It matches the Rfam family "Bacterial small subunit ribosomal RNA", at positions 359 to 774 of the family's 1533-position model. The record is from RNAcentral.
GAAUUUUGGACAAUGGGGGGAAGCCUGCUGCACCAACGCCGUGUGCAGGAUGAAGGCCUUCGGGUUGUAAAUUGCCUUUUUACGGAACGAAACGCUGUGGGUUCAUACCCUCGAAUCCUGACGGUACCGUAAGAACAACCACCGGCUAACCACGUGCCGCCAGCCCCGGUAAUACGUAGGGGGCAGGCGUUAAGCGGAAUUACUGGGCGUAAGGCGUGCGCAGGCGGUGGUGUAAGACAGAGGUGAAAUCCCCGGGCUCAGCCUGGGAACUGCCUUUGUGACUGCAAGGGUAGAGUAGGGCAGAGGGGGGUGGAAGUCCGCGUGUAGCAGUGAAAGGCGUAGAUAUGCGGAGGAACACCGAUGGCGAAGGCAACCCCCUGGGCCUGUACUGAAGCUCAUGCACGAAAGCGUGGGGAGCAAACA